RNAcentral lists this ribosomal RNA (274 nucleotides) under uncultured bacterium. Its description in RNAcentral is "partial 16S ribosomal RNA". It matches the Rfam family "Bacterial small subunit ribosomal RNA", at positions 523 to 796 of the family's 1533-position model. The record is from RNAcentral.
AUACGGAGGGGGCUAGCGUUGUUCGGAAUUACUGGGCGUAGAGGGCGCGUAGGCGGACUAUCAAGUCAGGGGUGAAAGGCCUGGGCUCAACCCGGGAACUGCCUUUGAAACUGAAAGUCUAGAGUCCGAGAGAGGAUAGCGGAAUUCCCAGUGUAGAGGUGAAAUUCGUAGAUAUUGGGAAGAACACCAGUGGCGAAGGCGGCUAUCUGGCUCGGUACUGACGCUGAGGCGCGAAAGCGUGGGGAGCAAACAGGAUUAGAUACCCCGGUAGUCC